This 168-nucleotide ribosomal RNA is filed under the name uncultured bacterium. Its description in RNAcentral is "partial 16S rRNA". It matches the Rfam family "Bacterial small subunit ribosomal RNA", at positions 352 to 511 of the family's 1533-position model. The record is from RNAcentral.
CAGUAGGGAAUCUUCGGCAAUGGGGGCAACCCUGACCGAGCAACGCCGCGUGAGUGAAGAAGGUUUUCGGAUCGUAAAGCUCUGUUGUAAGAGAAGAACGUGUGUGAGAGUGGAAAGUUCACACAGUGACGGUAACUUACCAGAAAGGGACGGCUAACUACGUGCUAG